CAAUAGCGUAUAUUAAAGUUGUUGCAGUUAGAACGCUCGUAGUCGGAUUUCGGGGCGGGCCGACCGGUCUGCCGAUGGGUAUGCACUGGUCGGCGCGUCCUUCCUUCCGGAGACCGUCCCUACUCUUAACUGAGCGGGGGCGGGAGACGGGACUUUUACUUUGAAAAAAUCAGAGUGUUUCAAGCAGGCAGCUCGCUCUUGCAUGGAUUAGCAUGGGAUAAUGAAAUAGGACUUUGGUGCUAUUUUGUUGGUUUCGAACACCGAAGUAAUGAUGAGAAGGGACAGUCAGGGGCACUCGUAUUCCGCCGAGAGAGGUGAAAUUCUCAGACCAGCGGAAGACGAACCACUGCGAAAGCAUUUGCCAAGGAUGUUUUCAUUGA
Molecule: ribosomal RNA, 380 nt
Filed under: uncultured eukaryote
Lineage: Eukaryota
Description: partial 18S ribosomal RNA
Rfam family: Eukaryotic small subunit ribosomal RNA
Source: RNAcentral